AUGAAUGUCAUAAGUUGGAACUGUCGGGGAGGGGGGAAUACCCGGACAGUUCGUGAGCUGGCGACAAUCUCACAGUCGCAUUCCCCCAACUUGGUCUUUUUGUGUGAGACGAGGCAAAAAGCAGAUAAGAUGAGGAGGAUCUGUCGUCGGAUUGGACUGAAGGGUUUUACGGGUGUUGAUAGUAAUGGUUUGAGUGGUGGACUUGCUUUGUUUUGGCAU
This 219-nucleotide ribosomal RNA is filed under the name Triticum aestivum (bread wheat). RNAcentral's name for it is "partial small subunit ribosomal RNA". The record is from RNAcentral. Lineage: Eukaryota; Viridiplantae; Streptophyta; Magnoliopsida; Poales; Poaceae.